This 468-nucleotide ribosomal RNA is filed under the name uncultured bacterium. RNAcentral's name for it is "partial 16S ribosomal RNA". It matches the Rfam family "Bacterial small subunit ribosomal RNA", at positions 28 to 507 of the family's 1533-position model. The record is from RNAcentral.
GACGAACGCUGGCGGCGUGCUUAACACAUGCAAGUCGAACGGAAAGGCCCUGCUUUUGUGGGGUGCUCGAGUGGCGAACGUGUGAGUAACACGUGAGUAACCUGCCCGUUACUUUGGGAUAACUUCAGGAAACUGUUGCUAAUACCGGAUAGGAGCUCCUGCUUCAUGGUGGGGGUUGGAAAGUUUCGCCGGUGGGGGAUGGAGCGGCGGCUUAUCAGCUUGUUGGUGGGGUAGUGGCUUACCAAGGCUUUGACGGGUAGCCGGCCUGAGAGGGUGACCGGACACAUGCGGACUGAGCUGGGGCCCAGAGUGCUACGGGCGGAAGCAGUGGGAAAUAUUGCACGAUGGGCGGAGGCCUGAUGCAGCAACGCCGGGUGAGGGAUGACGGCCUUCGGGUUGUAAACCGCUUUCGCCUGUGACGAAGCGUGAUUGCCGGUAAUGGGUAAAGAAGCACCGGCUAACUACGUG